UACAGAAGCGUGGAUUUUCACA
RNAcentral lists this microRNA (22 nucleotides) under Caenorhabditis remanei. RNAcentral's name for it is "crm-miR-254". Its record names the gene crm-miR-254. The record is from miRBase by way of RNAcentral. Lineage: Eukaryota; Metazoa; Nematoda; Chromadorea; Rhabditida; Rhabditidae.